Dreissena polymorpha is the source of this 5634-nucleotide RNA transcript. It is a transcript of the gene named BRCA2-interacting transcriptional repressor EMSY-like, with no coding region annotated. The transcript has 25 exons. The record is from RefSeq and is a predicted model, not a curated record. Lineage: Eukaryota; Metazoa; Mollusca; Bivalvia; Myida; Dreissenidae.
GCGUGGUUAAUCUCAAAAUCCAAAAUGGAGGACGAGUAGUCAAAUAAUAAAAAAAAUACAGCGUUUUGUUAAAUAUUUAAUUUGAUCAUGUGGCCCGAACUUCUCGACAUGACUCGGGAGGAGUGUAAGAGAGUGCUUCGCAGAGUGGAGCUGGAGGCCUAUUCGUCUGUUGUGUCGGCUUUCCGUGCUCAGGGGGACCUCAAUAAAGAGAAGAAGAAGAUGCUAUAUGAUCUGCAACACUUUUUAAGUAUUUCAACUGAAAGACAUAGAGCUGAAGUAAGGAGGGCAGUCAAUGAUGAGAAGCUGGCAACAAUUGCUGAUAAUAUGUCCCCUUCCAACAGUACACAGGAGUGGUUGAUUGAAGGUCGCAGGCUUGUCCCUUUGAUGCCAAGGCUUGUUCCACAGACUGCGUUCACUGUUACAGCUAACCAGGUUGCUAAUAUCCAGGCAGAGAAGAACGCGUCCCUUCCCAGCCCUUCAAAUACUGGCUUAAGGGAAAACAUACCGCUAUCCAGUGGUAUGUCCUCCCCACCCCCCACACCAGUCUGGACCUCAAGACCUAGCAGCCCUACCUCCAAUGUGGUGGUUCUGCCCAGCGGCAUGUCCAUUCACAUCAAAGGUGGCCUGAACACAGAGGAAGACGAAGACAUCCAGUCCCGCAAGCGUCACCACAGUACUUCAUCAGAGACCAUGUUCUCCCCUCCCCACCCCCCGCCCCAGGUGACAUACACCACCACGAUGGCCAGCACCCCCACGAGUGUGUCCCCCAAGAAGAUCACCAUCACCAAGAGCCCCCAGGCUCAGCCCAGGGUGGUGGCUAGUGGCAGUCAGACACAGAAGGUGAUACUGGUCUCCAGUCAGGGCCACUCCACCCAGGUGACCACCCCGCAGAAGCCUCUGUCCAUGCCUGUCAUGCGCUCCACGGUUUCCACUGGAACCUCCACCACCACCCUGCCCUCCAAGUCUGUGCUCCUGCCAGGGACCAACCAGCAGUUUGUGGGAACCAGCACAGGAAGCCUUGUUUCCAUGACGACCACAUACCUGCCUGUCACCACGAAUGCUAGUCUUGCCUCCACCAUGCUAUCUACAGCAGCUGCUGUGGGCACCUCCACCACCGCCUUCCUGACGCCUACCAUCAGCACAGCCAAGCCUCGCUUCAAAACUGUGCCAAGACAGAAAAUUUUACAGGUGCCCUCGAGCCGUCCCGGAGUGGUGAUCCCCAUGAGUCCUCAGCCAGUGCAGCCCUCCCCCCAGACAGUGCAGGCGCUAAAACCCGGCGCCAAACCCACUAUCCAGAUCAGACAGGAGGGAGGUAUGAAGAUCAUCACCCAGAGUGUGUCCGGCAACACCAGCAAGAUCCUUCCCAAGCCUAGCCAGCUGGUCAACGCCAGUGGGACACCUGUGGUAGUGGUCAGUGCUGGGUCAGUGACCAACACCUCCCAUCCCACCUCCGUCACCAUGGUGAGCCGCACCGGUCAGUCUCUGCCAGGUACAGUGACAGGCACAAAGUUGUUGAACAUCCAGACCCAGGGCGGGAAGAUCAUCACGGCCCCCCGGGGAUCCAGUGUAGUCACCGUGAACCCCAAAACUCUGCAUCUUACUGCCGUCAAGAACACAUCAGGAAUACCAGGUUCCAAGCCGAAUGUGAUAGUGGUACAGAAAACUCAGCAGAGACGAUUGGCAGGCACUCAAGUGGCUAUUGGGGGUAAAGCCAAUACUGCUGUCAUCUCCAGUCCCUUUGAAAAGGAACUUGUGAGCUUUUUGCAAAAGCAGGAUCCAACCAAACAGUAUGUCGUAACGACGACCACUGCCAACCUGUCCAGGUCACAGGACGCCCAGAGGAAGGUCAUUGUCACCACACCUGGGCACGGUGAUCUGGCUAAACAGAUUAGCGCUAGUAUCCAGAAGGCCAAGUCACAGGAAGUAAGUGUAGCCUCGUCCACCAUCCUUCACGACCUUAUCACCGCGGCAGGCAUCAUGCCUGACGGAGUGGGAGAUGGCCAGUCAGGGGAGGUCACUGUGAACCUCGACGAGUCACAGCUCGCCGCUCUGACAUCUGCCGCCCAGGAAAGUAGUCAGACUAAAGUUAACCCCUCAAUGCCCAGCAACGAAUGGUUCGAGUAUGAUGUCACAGAUGAGUCAGGCAACACGUUCACACACACCGCAGAGUCUGCAGAUACCGCGGCGGCCAUUCAGUCCCUCCUAGACAUGCAGCAGGCAAACGGCGCGGCUGGCACCAGUAGUGUCAUGAGGCCAAAGGUCACGGUUCAGAGAUCGUCAAAUGUGGACAUCAGUCAACUGACUGACCACUUGAAUCAGCACCAGCAGCAGUUCUAUCCACUGGAACAGGCCAUUACCAUGCUAAAUCAGAGUGAAUCUGAAUCUGAAAAUACUGCGUCCUCUGGAAUAUUCCAGUCCGAUAAUAGUCAGACUAUUACGAGCAUGGUGGAAAAUUUUGAUGAUGACGCUAACAUUCUUACUGCUGUUCCCAUCAGCUUGACCUCUGAGGGUCAAAUAGAGCACAUGACCUUGAACACUUCCAGCAUGACCUCUAUUGCCGGUGGCGGUGACCUUAACCACGACCUUGACCCCCAGACUGGAAUGUUCUAUUUGGAGAAAGGGGGGUCGAUAAGCGGGAUCAAGAUCAACACGAGUGACGGCCAGCAGGUGAUUGUGAGUGGGGUGGAUGAAGACGGCAGGGUGAAAUAUGACCUGCUGAGUAGCUCCCUGGCGCAGGCUCAGAUUGACCUUGACCCCUAUCAGUUCAUUGAGAAUGGCGGGCAACAUGUGAAGGUCGUUGAGAAAUCUGUUUCAGGUGACUCUCUGCAAUCCAGCGCCUCCAGCUCAGGGUCCCUGUCUGGGGAAACCCUGCUUAUGCAGAAGGUCUCAGCCCCCAUCACCAUAACAACUCCCACCAUCCGUAUCCAGGGUAACUCAUUUGUUCCCAUCCAGGAGGUCAUGAGGUCAGCAGCAGUGGCCGGCUCUUCCAGUGGAAAAAUGGUGUUCAGCACAGCGGACGCGGGCAGCUCCAACCAGUCCAUCCAUGUGACUGUAGAGCCGAGUGAGCUGGACACCUCGUACAUGCAGAUGGAGGACUUCACCAGCCAGCAGCUAGGCGAUGUCACAGACGUGGGCAUAGGUCACAUGGAAGAAAUAGCCUGCGAGGAGACAGUCACUGUUGGUAACUCGGACUCCAGUGAGGGUGGAGGUAUGGAGGGCUAUGUGAGCGGGCUGGACAUGGGCUCUGGUGGGUCACAGCCUGCGCGCAGGAAGAGGAAGGUUCUCUCGGGCGAGGACCUCACUAGCUCUCCACCCCCGGGCAGUGGGGCGCCUGGCAGCUGGUCUCGAGCAGCCCUCGGGGUGUUAAACAAGGUGUGCAAGUAUCGUGGAGUGAACAGGGACAAGAACGAUCUCAAUGCGGCCACUUGGUUCACUCAGCCAGUGGACCCUGCAGAUGCCCCGGACUACUACACAAUAGUGCAGAAUCCUAUGGACUUUGGGACGAUCAAGAGGAAACUAGAGACGGGGAAGUACGUUGACUUUGACGACUUCCAUGCUGACAUGUUGCUGGUGAAGGAAAACUGUUACCUGUACAACCCUGAGCUGAGUCAGGUGCGGCGAGACUGUGACGAGGUGUUCACAUUUUACACAGCAGAGUACCAGCGCCUCAUGGACAAGUGGCAGAAGGUAAGGCAGGCUCUGUGACGAGGUGUUCACAUUCAACACAGCAGAGUACCAACGCCUCAUGGACAAGUGGCAGAAGGUAAGGCAGGCUCUGUGACGAGGUGUUCACAUUCUACACAGCAGAGUACCAACGCCUCAUGGACAAGUGGCAGAAGGUAAGGCAGGCUCUGUGACGGGGUGUUCACAUUCUACACAGCAGAGUACCAACGCCUCAUGGACAAGUGGCAGAAGACUCACAUUGGUUCGCCUUUGUCUAAAAAGCAGCGCACUGACCGAAGUCCGGUACACUCUUGACCAUGGACCCAGAAUACAUAGCUUAUUUUAGCACAUCGACUCAGAAUUCAUAGCUUCAUUUAGCACUGGCAUGGAUUAAGAUCUGUGCCGUUUUAUCAUCCCUCUCGAUAUUGUUUGCGCAAACUGAGAUCUUUAGGCCCACUUGUCAGGCAGGAAUAAACUGUGAAGUUGCAGUUGUGAUUGUUAAUACCUAAUUGAUAAAAUAGUUGUCAGCAAAUUCUUUUUUUUGUUAGGACUUUGUUUCAUUAAGUGCAUUAUUUUUUGGACUAUUUUGUCUUUAAAAAUUAAGUUUUUUUUUCAGGUUUAAGUCUUAUUCAGUAAAUUAUGAUCUGCAUAAAAUAUGUUUUUAUGCAAGACAAUGUUUCUGUGCCCUAAAGCACAGAUAUUCUAAUUAGACAAUACUAUAUUUAUUGCAGUACCCUUAUGUGACUGUUAAUCCCAAAUCAAAUGAAUGAAAUCAAAUUUGUAUAGAUUCCUCUAUCAUUGUUGCUAUAAACAGACGCUUUUUUGGUGUAUAUGUACAAGUUGGUAUUUGUUUAUAGUUAUUUUUUUUUUAAGUUUUUCAAAAUAAUUUCAACCAUGUUAACAAUUUAAUAUAAAUAUAGUUUUAAUACAAUAUUUUUUAUAUGAAUAAUAUAGUAAUUAAAAUUCUUCCAAUUUAUUUGUAUACAGAAGUUAUGAUUUUCACAUGAUAAUAUAACAUUUGCUUACAAAAAACUGAGCUAGUAUAUUUUAUGAAAAUGUGUCAUUUGUAAUAAUGAAACAUUCAAUAAUGCAGAUUUGAAAUCAAAAUUGUUUUUGGGAUACCUGAAACAUGGUAAUUAAAACUUGAUUCACUAACUAGUGUUUUAGGUAAAGCAGAAUUGCAAGGGUUAUUUGCUUUGAAUGCCGCACCUUUUCCAUUUUUUUUUCUCCACAAUUUAAAAGUAUGCCCCACCCUUUUUUACCUUUUUGUCAUUUGUCAAUGUUCUAAAAAAUACAGUCUCACCUAGAGUGCUUUUACUGGCUAUUUCCAAUUUUAGAGAUUUACCUGCAGCAUUACUUGACAUAUGCAUCAAAUUAUUUUUAAUGAAGAAGAAAUCUAUUGGAAUAUGUGCUAAAGGGAUGAAUGAUUGAACUUAAGUGGAAACUGCACAAUUCUGUUGUUUACAAUGUAUUAAUGUUACCAUCCAAUGAUUUUUCACAAAAGAGUUUUGUCAGUUUCAUGCCAAUGUGUACGAGCUGUUUUCUAUUGUCUCGUUCUGGCAAAACUGGACUUAAUGCAUUUGCAUAAACGUGUCUUCCCAAAUUAGCCUGCGCAGUCUGCAAGGGCUAAUCAGGGACAACACUUUUCGCCAGCGCUCAAUUUUCUUUUGAAAGAGACCUCCUUUAUACAAUUUAUUCCAUAAACGUGGAAAAUGUCUCUGUUUAUCAAUAAGCCCCGUUUUCCCAAAACGAGGCUCCAUUGUCUCGUUGUUGGCGGGUCAGAGCAUUGUUUAGUUCACCUGUUCAAAGAUUCAUCGUGUAUAUUCAUGAAGAUCAUGUAGUUUUUUUAGAACACUAAUAUUAUUAUCAUGUUAGUGCAUAGUUGUUUUACCUAUUCUUAGCUUAUUGAAGUAUAUUGCGGAACAUUAUAAAUGUUGCCACGUACAUUGUGAAUUAAACUCGUUUCGAGGA